This 421-nucleotide ribosomal RNA is filed under the name uncultured bacterium. RNAcentral's name for it is "bacterial SSU rRNA". It matches the Rfam family "Bacterial small subunit ribosomal RNA", at positions 1061 to 1481 of the family's 1533-position model. The record is from RNAcentral.
CGUGUCGUGAGAUGUUGGGUUAAGUCCCGUAGCGAGCGCAACCCUUGUCCUUAGUUACCAGCACGUUAUGGUGGGCACUCUAAGGAGACUGCCGGUGACAAACCGGAGGAAGGUGGGGAUGACGUCAAGUCAUCAUGGCCCUUACGGCCUGGGCUACACACGUGCUACAAUGGUCGGUACAGAGGGUUGCCAAGCCGCGAGGUGGAGCUAAUCUCACAAAACCGAUCGUAGUCCGGAUCGCAGUCUGCAACUCGACUGCGUGAAGUCGGAAUCGCUAGUAAUCGCGAAUCAGAAUGUCGCGGUGAAUACGUUCCCGGGCCUUGUACACACCGCCCGUCACACCAUGGGAGUGGGUUGCACCAGAAGUAGCUAGUCUAACCUUCGGGAGGACGGUUACCACGGUGUGAUUCAUGACUGGGGU